Non-coding RNA from Vicia faba (fava bean), 270 nucleotides. The record is from the annotation of a GenBank genome assembly. NCBI's taxonomy places the organism in Eukaryota, Viridiplantae, Streptophyta, Magnoliopsida, Fabales, Fabaceae.
AUGACCCAAUAUUGCUAUAAGGUGCUAAUGUUAACUGUCAAUUUACCACCUAAAAUUUUCAACAUUCAUACUUUGGUCAACGUUUCAAGCUUUAAGCUGAGUAGACUAGAUUAUACACCACUAACUUGUUGGUGUUGUUUUGAAUUUGCAUCAAUUUCUACACACAAAGGGAAGACUUGGAUGGCUUUGCCGUGUCAACUGAAUUUGGUAUUUGAUAAAAUGAAAAUGAUUGGUACAAACUCACACAAACACAAUGGAGAACAGACAUGA